This is a long non-coding RNA of Patella vulgata (common limpet), 1007 nucleotides long. RefSeq lists it as uncharacterized. The transcript is spliced from 4 exons. The record is from RefSeq and is a predicted model, not a curated record. NCBI's taxonomy places the organism in Eukaryota, Metazoa, Mollusca, Gastropoda, Patellidae.
CAGUCCCGUGUUAAAUUAUGCUUUAUCUACAGUGGCCAUCCGAAAUCGCAACAGUAUCCUGCCUAUGCCUUGAUAUAAAAUUGAAUAAUCCCAAAUUUGAAGAAUGGAUUUAAACAUUAAUAAAACAGUAGAUCUGCUACGACAAGCUGUAGUUGCAUUAGAAGAAGCGAGCGUCACACCAAGAGAAACUGCAAGGAGACCUGCUGCCAAUGAUCCUGGAUCAUCUUGUGCCGAUGGUGAAAUCAGGAGACUAUUAACCAACACUUCUACUACUAGCACCCCUAUAACUAGGCCCACCGGUACAUCAUCUAGUGAAAUUCGCAGGCUUUUUACACCAUACAAUAGAUCAAACCCCAGACGAGUACCGGUAACUCAACAGAGACAGUCUAAGUGGUCGCAUAAAUUUUUAUGCUUGGCAGAUCCACAGCAGGAAACCACAGCACCGACCGCCACAGCAGAAUUCAUUAUCCAUGGCUAUGGAAGGGACGAUUUGGAAUAUUCAAUUACAAUAGCGAAGGUAGAACAACCAGACGAAUUUAUUGAUGUUAACUGUCCCGUUCCAGUUCUCAAAACUUAUAUUACGCACGAAUCGGAGGAAGAGCUUGUGACAAAGAUGGAAGAUAUCAUACAAAAGGAAACAGUUAUUACGCUUAAAAUGGUCGGCAAUAAAUUGGCAGAACUCUAGGAUGAUAUCGAGCUGUUAAAUGUAUAUAUGUAAUAUUAGUCAAAUUUUCAUUUCAUUAUAUAUUGUUGCUUUGUGUAUGUCCUAUUGUUUCGAUUUUCGUAUAGGACCCAUUUUAUUGUAGCUAGGUACCGGUUCAAUUAAUUAAAGAAUAUUUAUUCUUUAUUUUCCCAAACGGACCGGGUCGCUGAAACAUUCAUUGAGUCAUCAUAAUGACAUAAUGGACCACUGAAUGUUUAAGCGCACCUCUGAAAUAUGGAAGGUCACGAUCAAAUCUUUAAUGCAACACACUCAGUAAUUUGACUGUUCUUCCAUGUACCAAAAU